This 126-nucleotide small RNA is filed under the name Aneurinibacillus sp. XH2. RNAcentral's name for it is "EGFOA RNA". It matches the Rfam family "EGFOA RNA". The record is from Rfam by way of RNAcentral. Lineage: Bacteria; Bacillati; Bacillota; Bacilli; Caryophanales; Paenibacillaceae.
CUUUUCCCAGAUACCACUCAAUGAGUGGUCCCGUCGUAGUGCCUAAUUGGCAGGGAAUCUUGACAGAGUGAUGGAAUGAUGCCAUCCACGCAGUAAAGCUACACCUGGGUGCGUCUGAUGUCUCGU